GGAGUUAGCCGGUGCUUCUUCUGUGAGUGAUGUCCUUCCUGCCGGCUAUUAACCCGCAGGCCUUCUUCCUCACUGAAAGUGCUUUACAACCCGAAGGCCUUCUUCACACACGCGGCAUGGCUGGAUCAGGGUUGCCCCCCAUUGUCCAAUAUUCCCCACUGCUGCCUCCCGUAGGAGUCUGGGCCGUGUCUCAGUCCCAGUGUGGCUGAUCAUCCUCUCAGACCAGCUACGGAUCGUCGCCUUGGUGAGCCGUUACCUCACCAACCAGCUAAUCCGACAUAGGCUCAUCCGAUAGCGCGAGGCCCGAAGGUCCCCCGCUUUCCCCCGUAGGGCGUAUGCGGUAUUAGCCUGGGUUUCCCCAGGUUAUCCCCCACUACCGGGCAGGAUUCCUAUGCAUUACUCACCCGUCCGCCGCUCGCCACCAGGGAGCAAGCUCCCCGUGCUGCCGCUCGACUUGCAUGUGUUAGGCCUGCCGCCAGCGUUCAAUCUGAGCCAUGAUCAAACUCUGA
RNAcentral lists this ribosomal RNA (509 nucleotides) under uncultured bacterium. Its description in RNAcentral is "partial 16S ribosomal RNA". The record is from RNAcentral.